This 279-nucleotide ribosomal RNA is filed under the name Acinetobacter baumannii. RNAcentral's name for it is "partial 23S ribosomal RNA". It matches the Rfam family "Bacterial large subunit ribosomal RNA", at positions 607 to 885 of the family's 2925-position model. Lineage: Bacteria; Pseudomonadati; Pseudomonadota; Gammaproteobacteria; Moraxellales; Moraxellaceae. The record is from RNAcentral.
UUUGUAGAAUGAACCGGCGAGUUACGUUCCCGUGCAAGGUUAAGGUGAGAAGCCGUAGCCGCAGCGAAAGCGAGUCUGAAUAGGGCGACUUAGUACGUGGGCGUAGACCCGAAACCGUGUGAUCUACCCCUGUCCAGGGUGAAGGUGCGGUAACACGCACUGGAGGCCCGAACCCACGAAUGUUGAAAAAUUCGGGGAUGAGGUGGGGGUAGCGGAGAAAUUCCAAUCGAACUCGGAGAUAGCUGGUUCUCCCCGAAAUAGCUUUAGGGCUAGCCUCGG